Pelobates cultripes (western spadefoot toad) is the source of this 744-nucleotide non-coding RNA. The record is from the annotation of a GenBank genome assembly. NCBI's taxonomy places the organism in Eukaryota, Metazoa, Chordata, Amphibia, Anura, Pelobatidae.
CUUUGAAGGGCUCAGAGGGAUCCCCUUCUUAGGGUUGCUGCCUUACCUUAUUUUUAUUUUCAUUUAAUCAGCGCUGACCCUUUUAGUUUUUUAUCUUUAUAUUGUCUGCUGGAUCCUGUGUCCCUCUUCUUCUAGCAAGCUCAUUGGCUGAGAGAGAGCACUCAUGGACACUAUGGUCACCACAACAACCACAGCUUAAUAUAGUGGAUCUGGUGUGUCUAGUCUGUCCAUGCAGGCUUUUUAAUGUAAACACUGCCUGUUAGAGUGCCUAGUAACACCUCUAGUUGCACUCACUGAGAGGGCCACUAGAGGUGCCACAAUGUGCAGCAUGGACAUUCAGCUCCGCAUGGAGGCGUUGAGAGUUCCUCAUAGAGAUGCUGAUUGGUGCAGCAUUUGCUGUGCAUGCGCAAUAGCAUCCCAAUGCUUUCCUUUUGGAAAGCAUUGGAUGAGCUCAGAUGAGCAGGUUUGAUGAUCUCAGCUAAUCUCCUUUUACAAGGAUUAACAAAAUAUACCAGUCUACAUGCAAACUCCAAAUAUGUGAAAUAACACAAAAAAAUACUUUUCAUAGGGGUUAGUGGAACUCUGGCGUAUAUAUAUAUAUUUUUUUAUAUUUGGUUUUUAUGCUGGGUUCCACCCCCAUGGUACUUAGAGAAUUAUUUUAUUUCUAUUUUGAUUUAAUAAAUUAUAUAUAUUUUUUUAACCUAUUCCAAGUCCUCUUUAUCUUCACACACAACAGGAAAUGGC